UUUGGAAGGACUAGCACUUAUUAGAUAUUAAACCAAUCGUCGCAAGACGUUUUAUGGUGAUUCAUAAUAACUGAACAAAUCACAUAGUCUUGUACUGGUGAUGUUUCAUUCAAAUUUCUGCCCUAUCAACUAGAUGGUAGUAUAUAGGACUACCAUGGUUGUAACGGGUGACGGAGGAUUUGGGUUGACACCGGAGAAGGAGCAUGAGAAACGGCUACUAUUUCUAAGGAAAGCAGCAGGCGCGCAAAUUAUUCAAUGGAAACAAUUAUCCGAAAUAGUGACAAAAAAUAUCAAUGCUGGGUACUAUGUAUCUAGUAAUUGGAAUGAGUACAAUUUAAAUCCCUUAACAAGUAACAAUUAGAGGGCAAGUCUGGUGCCAGCAGCCGCGGUAAUUCCAGCUCUAAUAGCGUAUAUUAAUAUUGUUGCAGUUAAAAAGCUCGUAGUUGAAAUUUGAGACUUUUUUAUAAUGGUUUGUCUUUUGAUGAACUUUAUAAUGGGUUUCUUCCUACUAGAAUUCGAUUCUGUUCUUAAUUGAAUGGAGUAGUUAUCUUUCGGGGUAAUCAAUUGGUUAUUAUGUCUCCAUUAAUAAGCUGAGAGGGGUAAAACUUUCAAUGUAAGUUAUAUGGAUCAAGAUAUAGUAAUUAAUUGGAGUUCUAGUUCGUUUACUUUGAGAAAAUUAGAGUGUUUAAAGCAGCCUCUUGGGGCUCUGAAUACAUUAGCAUGGGAUAAUAAAAUAGGAUCUUUACAAUAUAUUUUAUUGGUUUAAAUUGAUUUAAAGAUAAUGAUUAAUAGGGACAGUUGGGGGUAUUUAUAUUGGGUGGUUAGCGGUGAAAUGCUCGGAUCCAUUCAAGAUAAACUAAAGCGAAAGCAUUUACCAAGAUGUUUUCAUUAAUCAAGAACGAAAGUUAAGGGAUCGAAGACGAUUAGAUACCGUCGUAGUCUUAACUAUAAACUAUGCCGACCAGGGAUAUGAGUUGUUAGGAAUAUACGAAAGUAUAUUCAAUUUCUUCUUAUGGACCUUGUGAGAAAUCAUAAGUGUUUGGGUUCUGGGGGGAGUAUGGUCGCAAGGCUGAAACUUAAAGGAAUUGACGGAGGGGCACCACCAGGAGUGGAGCGUGCGGCUUAAUUUGACCCAACACGGGAAAACUUACCAGGUCCAGACAUUAGAAGGAUUGACAGAUUGAUAGCUCUUUCAUGAUUUGAUGGGUGGUGGUGCAUGGCCGUUCUUAGUUGGUGGAGUGAUUUGUCUGGUUAAUUCCGAUAACGAACGAGACCUUUACCAUACUAACUAGUUAUAUAUAAACUUUUGUUUAUAUAGAUGAACUUCUUAGAGGGACUAUUGGUUUACAAACCAAAGGAAGUAAAGGCGAUAACAGGUCUGUGAUGCCCUUAGAUGUUCUGGGCUGCACGCGCGCUACAAUGAUAA
This 1426-nucleotide ribosomal RNA is filed under the name metagenome. RNAcentral's name for it is "SSU rRNA". It matches the Rfam family "Eukaryotic small subunit ribosomal RNA", at positions 190 to 1509 of the family's 1831-position model. The record is from RNAcentral.